RNAcentral lists this ribosomal RNA (564 nucleotides) under Triticum aestivum (bread wheat). Its description in RNAcentral is "partial small subunit ribosomal RNA". The record is from RNAcentral. Lineage: Eukaryota; Viridiplantae; Streptophyta; Magnoliopsida; Poales; Poaceae.
AUGACCCAACCAAAAUUCAUGGGAGGUUUGGGUUUUCGAGACUUCGAAUUGUUAAAUUUGGCUCUUCUUGCAAAACAGUCAUGGCGCCUGCUCCAAAACCCACAGUCACUCUGCGCCAACAUCUUCAAAGCUACCUAUUAUCCCAAUCGUACUAUACUUUAUGCUGAGUUGGGAACAAAACCUUCGCAGGUGUGGCGCGCUAUAAUGGAGGGUAGAGAUGUGCUCAACCAGGGUCUUAUAAGGAGGAUAGGGAAUGGAAAUACAACGCCCAUAUGGGAGCACAAUUGGUUACCCAAUGAGGUGAUGAUGAGGCCGAUUGCAUGUAUAACAAAUGACCCGCAAGUUUUGGUAAGUGAAUUGAUAUAUCAUACCAGCGCCGCUUGGAGGGUCAACCUGUUACAACAAGUUUUUUUGGCGCUAGACAUUAACACAAUUCGGAGCAUCCCCAUGUGUACUAGGAAUAUGGAUGAUACCUGGGCAUGGAAUUAUGGAAAGCAUGGUAGAUUCACUAUCAGGUCGGCUUAUCGCAUGUUGGCAGAUACUAAGAGGAGGAGGGAGGACUAG